GCCUCUCUCCCCCCCGGUCCCCUCGGGGCGCCCGCCAGCGGCCGCGAGCCGCCCGAACUUUUUAUAACCGUAACCGACACGUCUGAGAAACAAACAAAAACAGCCAAAACUUUCAACAACGGAUCUCUUGGCUCUGGCAUCGAUGAAGAACGCAGCGAAAUGCGAUACGUAAUGCGAAUUGCAGAAUUCAGCGAGUCAUCGAAUCUUUGAACGCACAUUGCGCCCGCCAGCAUUCUGGCGGGCAUGCCUGUCCGAGCGUCAUUUCCCCCCUCAGCGCGCCCUUCGGGAGGCGCUGGCGUUGGGGCUCCUCCGCCCUCUGCGGCGGCAGGGCCCUCAAAUCCAGUGGCGGGCCCGGCUGGUUGGCUCCGAGCGCAGUACCGAACGCAAGUUCUCUCCCUCGCUCUGCAGCCCCGGCCGGCGCCCUGCCGUCAAGCCGCGCAGGCGUCCAGCACGCCUCGCACU
RNAcentral lists this ribosomal RNA (462 nucleotides) under Ophiostoma piceae. RNAcentral's name for it is "eukaryotic LSU rRNA". The stretch from base 108 to 261 matches the Rfam family "5.8S ribosomal RNA". The record is from RNAcentral. Lineage: Eukaryota; Fungi; Ascomycota; Sordariomycetes; Ophiostomatales; Ophiostomataceae.